CAUAUGUAACAAACCUGCACGUUGUGCACAUGUACCCUAGAACUUAAAGUAUAAUAAAAAAAAUUCAAGACCUUGUGUGAAACAAAGAUCUCAAAAUCGCAGGUCACAGCCAAAUGUGACCAAGAUGUAUUUAAGUUGGGGCCAUAUCACAUUUUAAGAAAAUGAACCAGCAUAUUAAAUUUAGUAGGUUUCACAUACAAAUCUAGAUCUCCAGUUUCUCUAGAAAAAUUGUGAAGUCUAGCAGCACCAGGCCUGUGUUCUUGAAUAACAGCAAUCAAUUGAACCAGAUGAUCAGCCUAGUGGUUUGCCAUAGAACUCACUAUUCCCAGGGGCAUUUAUCAUACAGCUUGCAUUUUUUUUCAUUCUGAGUUUAAAAUAUAUUUUUUACCUCUUAUUUAUUUUAUGUUAUAUGCUUACACCAUAGUUCCCUAACCAUACAGAAAGUGUGAUACAUACCUACAAUUGAUUUUUCUCCCAUCCACCCUCUUCUGUAGGCAUCUGAGUUGUCAACCACUGCCCUGAAAACAAUUUUUAGUUAAAUGAGGCUGCACCAGUCCCGUGUAACCACUAGAUGGAGUCUAUUUGGCCUUGCUUGUUUCAGCUGCUCCUCAAUGUUUUGAUAACCUGAUAACCACACCAGAGCUGGUCUACAGACAAAAGGUUUACAGAAUCAAUAGUACGAUUUUCUUUUCCAGUAGUUUUCAGGGCUAAAUGUCACUCUGGUAAAAUUUUCCAUUAUAAUUUGUAAAUCUAAAUAUAUAUGUAUGAGAAUAUGCAUGGGAAAACAUAUGAGUUCAUAAUCACUCAAAUAAAGUAUUAUUGGAACUCCAAAACAGAAGGCAUUUGAUACUGCUAUUUCAGGGUUCACCUAGUUUUUAUCAACUUCAGGUGGAAAAUUAUCAAAGAAGAAAACAGGUAUUAUUUUUAUGGAAUGACAUAUUCUUAUCCUACCAUAAAUGUCUGAGUGUAGAGUUACAAUUUCUAUUAUUAGCAAAAGGGAAAAUAUUUUAAUAUAGGUUGUUUAUAAUAAAUAGUUUUUCAACUGAAGAAAAGUUAACCAUGUGCCGUUCACCCAAUUCACAUUCAUCUUUGCACCUUCUUAAAUUUGUUUUUAAAUUUGUCAAUAACUUGAUGGUUUUACACAAGGAUAGACCAGUAAAAUUGAUUUUCAGUCUGACAUCAAGGGCAAUACAGAUCCCAGGGGAGCAAGGCCAGCUAGCAUGAGGAUACUAUGCUACCAAUGUGUGAAUUACUGGGCUGCGAAGGAAGCCUAGAGGAAAUGAAAAAAUGUAUUUAUUUAGAUAUAACAAUGUGUGACUCUUCCCACUAGAAAUUAGAUGAAUCAUUUUGGUACUAAUUUAAAGCCAUUUUAACACAUAAAUGUCCUGUCAUUGGUUCAAUUUAUGUAGUAUCAGCUGUAUGUCCUAAACUGAGGUUAAGUCUACAGGUACAAAAAUAAGAAGGAAAUGGUUGGUCCUUACACCAAAGAAAUUUGGAGUCUGGAAAAAAAAAAUCACAUACAGGAAUAAUAAUUGUAAAGAAAAUGCAACAACUGAAAUUUAUAUAUUAUAAAAUGGUAUGCACAUAUAUUUGGUUUAUAAAUAACAUAAAUAUAACAUAUAAUGCAUCAGACAGAAGUAAAAGCUUUAAAUUUCAGUUAUAAAAUGAAAACAUAUUGCUAUGAAUAAUGAAAACUAAAUUAAUAAAAAAUUUUAUGUUAUCAUUCUGGAAAAUCUUUCAAAAACAGUCUUUGGGGUAGUAUAACUUUGUGACCAGAUGCUCAUAGCUCAAAUAUAAAGAUUAGUCAAAAUUGGCAAAAAGCUAUGUUCUACAGAACAAAUUAUCACUUGCUUCACAAAUAGCAAGUGUGCUCACCUAAGGAAAAUCAUGCUUGUACGAAAAAAGAUAGUUCCCUAGUUUCCAAAUUGUAGUAAAAAUGCAGUGAUCAUGGGCAACUUCAAAACCACAUCAAAGAAAACUGUAUGAAAAAGCAGACAGGGAAUGCAUAUUUUCAAAAUGCCACAAUGUUACAUUGCAAACCCUGGUCUAAACCGUAACAAAAAAUAAAACUAAUUUAAAAACCAAUUAUAAUAUCUGAGGAAACAGAUUACUAAAAGUAUGGAUAAAUGAAUUGUUCUUGAGAAUAUGUAUAAUUUCCAUAGAAAGAGUUAUAUAAAAUACUUGCACCUUACUUUUAAACAUAUUAAUCAUACACAUUUUUGUUUGUUUUACUUGUACACAUACAGGCAGCCAUUGAAAAGAUUAAAAUUUUAACUACAAUGAACAACUUAUUCUUUAGUCCAUGCAUUAACUAUGCAUUCAGGUAAAUAUCUGUGAAAAUAAUCAGUUAUUCUAAAACUGCUUAAGAUCUGGAAUGAUAGUAAAACUAUCUUUUUUGGAAGAGAAUUUUUCAGGAAUAUAAAUAUUUUCAUAUAACAUAAGAAGCUUCUAGAAAUGUAACAUUUUUAGACAGUUACAAUUUAUUAGAUACAGCAUUGAAAUAAUUUUCAUUGAAGAUGAUAUUAUGCUAAGCCAAUUUAUUUUGAGAUAUGUCUCUUAAAACCAGGAAAGUUAGAGAUGUUAUCUAAAAAAGAAAAAUCUUUCUUUUAAAGAUGAAAACAUUACAUUUACACUUACAAGUAAAAUGUAUUAUUAUUUAUCUAAAACACAGAGGAAUACUUAUUUUAUAUUUAAGAAUCGCAUUGUAUUAAAUUUUUCAAGAACAAUUACAAAACGCUAUCUUACAUUCAAAAUAGUUAUCUGAUAGUGGUCUAGAAAACAUUUACUAGCACAUUUCUUCUCAAAUAAUUUUCUUCAAAUGAAAGAGUAAAUACCAUUACUCAGAAUUAUCAUUUUUCUCAUUACCAGUUUCUUCACACAUGGGUUUCAAUCAAUAUUUAGUCAUUUUCAGACUAUGUAUUCACAAGCAAAGUGAAAUAGAUAAUUAUUUAAUCCCUUUAGUUCAAGCUCAAAAUAAUCAGUAUUUCAAUAAUCUUUGCUUUCAAGACUACUGUGAUUUUCAGACUGUAAUUUCACAGAAAAUUAGUUAAAUCCUGUAUUUCCCUAUGUAUAUGUGCUCAGUCUUGAUAAGGAAUAUUGUCUUCCAUUUCCUUGAUACUUAUGUUAAAAUUUACAAGAAAAUCAUCAGAAUUCAUCACAUCUUGUAAAGCAUAUUUUGUUAAUUUUAAAACAGUAUUUCUGUGUAACAGGCCAUUGUGGACAGAGAAAAUAAUUCUACGUCAAGGAGAAGUCCAAGGUCUAAAAGAAUGGAAAAUGCAAUUGAUGCCUGUUAUUAACACACAACAGGACUAGGGUGCAUGCAAUAAAAAGGAAAGAAAAUACACAGACAAAGAAUAAUUAAGGAUUGCAUCCACUUUUUACCAUUUUAACAUCUCUCCACUAUAGACAUUAAUAAUUGGGUAAUUGUAACUUUCUCCUGCUUUUACUCACUGGAGAGUUGCUGCCAAUAUCUCUAAUCAUCACAGCAUGUGCCAUUUGGCUGAAAAAGUGAAGGCAGUUUAGUAUAGAGAGAGAAAACAUUCAGGAUGAAGUGGGUUGUGAGAUGAACUGGAAAGGCAUGAAGAAACAAUAUUAGACAUGAUACAGAGUCUUGUUAUGCCCAUCGAGUUUAGACUAACCCGAAAAACAAUGUGUAAUAAUUGAAAAAUGUUCAUCCUCUUUAAAAGUAAGUGCUUUCCACAUUCUUAAAAUGUAAUGAUUAUUGCAUAAACUAGAAUCAUUAAUGUAAUGAUUAUUGCAUAAACUCGAUUAUUGCGUAAUAGGGGUAAAAAUAAAUAAGCUUAUUUGAGAAAUAUUAAGAAUGGGGCCACAGUUUGGGUUUUAGCAACUGAUUGGAAAGUGAUGCCAUUCACAUUGGACACGUUUAAAUUUGAGACGCUAGUGGAACAACCAUGUAUAGACACCUACUCGGCAAUCCUGCAUAUGAUCUCAACAUCAGAAGAGAGAUGUGGGCUGAUGACACAGAACUGAGAAUAGCCAGCGUUGCCACUGGGAGUAACCAUCACAUAUGUGGCAAAAAAGGCCAUUGGCGCAGAUAUAAUCACCCAGGCGGGAUGUGUAAAAUGGAAAAAGAAGGCAACCUAGAAGCAGGAUUCAACGUAUCAGAUACAGUAAUGAAGACAAUAAGAAAUUGGAUUGAUCCAGGUCUGGAGUUUUGCCACAGAGUGAAAUGGAACAACAAUAUGCAGGAGAAGUGAGGAUACUGAAUUCUACUUGAAAAUUAUACAGAAACAAUUUCUUAGAAUGCUCACAAAAGACCUGAAAACAUGGGGAGGAAGCAGGGCAUUUACAGGUAACUGCUGCAUAAUUGGUUCAAUCAGACUUCUUUCAAACACACUGGAUGUAGCCAGGGAUCCAAGACCAGAAACAUACGCAGAAUAGCUUCCAGAAUCUCACGGCACAAACUGUAUCUAUCCUAUCCCUUAAUUUCCCACAUGUAAGUAAAUACUGCUGUUCUAAGGGGAUUUAUGUUAUGGGGUGCCGAUUCAUUUGUCAUCUCCUUGUUUCCAAUGUUAUCUACUACAGUCUCUUCAUCUUCAGAGAUGCCAAAGUGAUUUCUUUGACAAUAUGGAGCUUCCCAUCAUCUUUGGAAUUAGAUACAGUCUUGACCAUGGCCUGCAAGGUUCUAUAUGAUCUGACUCCUGGAUACUCACCUAACCUCACUUUCUACCAUUCUCUUCUCAUGAGCUCUGAGUCCUCAUGGCUUUUCCAAUGGUCUGAAUCUACUCUUGUUUCAGAGCCCUAAUACAAUUUUCACUCAAAUAUUCACAUAGUUCCUAUCCCACCCUUUAUUUCAGUCUAUGCUCAAAUGUCAUUUCAUAAGUGACAAGUACUUUCCCUGACAAGCCUAUCUCAAAUGGCAGGCGAAGUCCCUCUCUAGCCUUUUAUUGUUCUUCACUUAUACCUAAUUUAUAUUGUAUUAUCUUUUUAUUCAUAGUACAUAUUCCCAACUAGAAUGCAAUUUUCUUAAAGAUUAUUUUAUGCGCUACUGAAACCCAUGGUGUCUCUAGUAGUGUCAAAUAUAUAUUAUGUGUUCCACAAGCAUGUUUUCAAUAAAUAAAUUUCACACCAUGAUCAUUCUAGUCCAAGAAAAUAAAUUCAAAGCAGAUGGCCUACAGAUUUUCAGAUAACUUUCUAAAAGACCAGGGUUUAGCCACCCUGAAGAUAAUUCAAAUCUAGUAAGAACCUAUCAGUGAAUGAUAAAUGCAUUAAGCAAAUGUAAGAAUAAAAGCCAUGGACCAGAUUUCCAAUUUCUAAAAUGGCAAAGUAAGUUAAAUAUUUUAAUCAGGGCUUUAAAUGAGACAGCACACAGACCUUCAAAGUCAGAAAAUGAACUAAAAUGAGAAAGAUUCUCACCCUGUUUAAAAAUAAAAAUUCCUAAUAUAUAAAAACAAAAAUCACAAUGUGAUGGCAAGUGAUACUUUUGGAAAUAAUCAUUUAUCUUAGAUAAUGAUUAGAUUUUACUUUCUUAUAAAUGAAUUAUUAAAUGUUUAUUCACAAACUAAUUCACUACAUAAUAUGACUCCAUGUACUAUGAGGCCUACAUUAGCUACUGUGUAGGUGAAAAACUGAAUAAAAUAUUACCCUUAUCUCAAGGAGCUUUUUCUCUGGUAGGAAGAUCAUGUAGGUACCCUAAUAACU
RNAcentral lists this long non-coding RNA (5661 nucleotides) under Homo sapiens (human). Its description in RNAcentral is "HSALNT0369433". Lineage: Eukaryota; Metazoa; Chordata; Mammalia; Primates; Hominidae. The record is from RNAcentral.